Molecule: long non-coding RNA, 227 nt
Organism: Labrus mixtus (cuckoo wrasse)
Lineage: Eukaryota; Metazoa; Chordata; Actinopteri; Labriformes; Labridae
Exons: 2
Source: RefSeq, a predicted model, not a curated record
UUUACAUAUAGGCUAUAUUAAUGACUUCAUUUCAUUCUAAAAUACUUUAUUUCAUUCAUAUCUUUUAUUUAUUGGAGACUCUUUUGGUUGAAGGAAGCAGCAUAAGUUUAUUUUAUCAUAAGUUUAUUUUAUGUUUAAUUUAAAAUGUUAUUAAAAAGUAACCUGAGCAGGUGUACAAGUCUGAACUGUCGAUGCUGCACUUAGUCCAAUGUGUAAAAGGGAAAUUA